UAUGUAUCUCACAGCGGUUUAUGGAAUGAGAGAUGUAGUAAUAAGUUUUCUCUCUCACCUUGUGAACCCACUGUUAAAGGUUGCUGUUACGACAAUAACUGCCGCCUCCAGUAUGUUUGAGAGUUUAUAAACUUGUGUCACAUGACAAGUGUUGCUGGCAGACAUUAUAACAGAGGGAACACUUUACAUGCUUAAAGGAUUAUUCCUGGGAAAAUUCAGGGUAUUGAAAAUUUCUAGAAAUUUUGUUUCCGAUUCGAAAUAUACUUAGGUGCAAACUUCAAGUAUGGGUGAAGCUGCAACCUCUAAUAUGGUGUGUGUUUAUAUAUCAUGUAGUGACAUUGUACUUUAAAGAUCCUUGGUUUUUGUGCUAAUGUAACUAUGUAAGGUUGGAAGUGUAAGGCAAGAUUUGUAUCUUGCUACAUGAUGAAGCUGUGGUUUUCUGAUGGCAUUUGUUCCCACUAAUAUAUUAAAAGAGCUACUAUUGCAUUAGGUGAUGCGGUGUCAGCCGGUUGUAUCUAUAAUUAAAAUAAAAAUGUUUUAGAAUUUCUGUAUGAAUUAACCUCCUCAACGUUUAGUGCCGCAGCCCUAAAGGGCAUUAUAGCGACGGCGUGGUAUUUAUGUUGAAAAUAAAACAUAGGUAAAUGCUACGUAAUACAACGGCCCUAAUGUAGAUGAAAUUACAGUAGCCUAGGUAAUGUCUAAUUGUAGAAGUAAAAAUGUACAUAUUAUUUAUAUAGAAUAAUCUUUGAGCAAUUUACCUAAAUAUGUUUUAUUCUGCAGCUGUGGCCUCUAUUCGGUGGAUGUCUGACCAAACCUGAACGAGGAAGAUAUUUUAUGUACUUCUGAUUAUGUUCUGCCCAGCUGUCUCUGUUCCUGUAGUGUGAUCACAUUUCAGCACCUUUUGAUUUGUAGAAUCAAUAUAUCCUGAGUUGUGGUGUCAGUAAUUUAUUUGUAGCACAAUAUCUUACAUAGAGACCAUAUGACUUUGGGAACGUUACGGGACCAAGUCAUUUACCCAGACACUCCAGAACACCGGAAACGUAAAGGUAUUCCUGAUAAGGUAUUGAAGGAAUACCUUGACAAUGUGCAGCUGGGUUUGGAACGUGAAGGCGGCUGGGACAGUGUUCAAGACUGGAUGUACUGAGUGGGGGCGAAAAGCAGAGGAUGGCAAUGGCAAGAUAAUUUUACCAUGUACCCCAGUUUGCCAUUUUGGACGAGUGCACUAGUGCGGUUAGUAUGGAUGUAGAAGGUUUAUAUCUAUGACCACUGCAGAAAGCACGUUUCCUCUUUCAACUGUGAACAAAGCUAUUCCAACCUAAGAGGAUAAGAAAAGGGAGCACAGUGUCACACAGAAAGUCCCUAUGGAAGCACCACGAGGUAAAUCUUUUAAACAUUUCAUGAAAGCACUGCA
Spea bombifrons (plains spadefoot toad) is the source of this 1411-nucleotide long non-coding RNA. RefSeq lists it as uncharacterized. The transcript has 4 exons. The record is from RefSeq and is a predicted model, not a curated record. Lineage: Eukaryota; Metazoa; Chordata; Amphibia; Anura; Pelobatidae.